Dreissena polymorpha is the source of this 3281-nucleotide long non-coding RNA. RefSeq lists it as uncharacterized. The record is from RefSeq and is a predicted model, not a curated record. The transcript has 3 exons. Lineage: Eukaryota; Metazoa; Mollusca; Bivalvia; Myida; Dreissenidae.
AUACCACUUAUAAUUAUAAUCAAAUUAUUAUAUGUUUUGUUAUUUUUGAAUUAUCAUUUAUUUAAGUCUUACUUUAAGCAAGAAUACGGGUAUUUAUAGUCUUGUUUUGUGAAAUUGUCAGUAUUAAGUCUUCCGACGACCUUUACUCUAAUACAAUGUAAAUGGCCGCGAUCGAGAGGUUUGACGGCCAAUCUAUUUUUAGUAACGGAAAACCCCUCUUGUGACGUCACGCCAAAACCUCCUAAAGUCACCAGUGGGCGGGGCAUUUUUAAUUAUAUGGAAAUAGUUAAACCUUGUUAACACUAUAGAGGCCACAAUUAUUGUCCGAUCUUCAUGAAAUAUGGUCAGAAGAUUUGUCUUAUUGAUAUCUUGGAUGAGUUCGAAAAUGGUUACGUUUGCUUGAAAAACAUGGCUGCCAAGGGGCGGGGCAUUUUGUUAUGUUCCCCCAAAUUUUUUUGGGAGGGAGCAUAUAGUCGCCGCUUUGUCCAUCCGUUCGCAAUUUUUGUCUGGGCUAUUUCUCAGCAAUUAAUCAUCGGAAUUCAAUUAAACUUUAUGGGAAGCUUUACUACAAAGAGGAGAUGUGCAUAUUAUCAGCCGGUUCUGGUCGGAUGAUUUUUCACAGAGUUAUGGCCCUUUUAAAUUUUCCAUUAACUGUUCAUAUAGUGCAAUUCUUGUCCCUCAACUACUAGACGUUUCCUUUUAUCUGCAUAUAUAGUGCAAUAUUGUGACAAAAAAUCUUUGGGGAGCAUCACCCGUCUCCGACGGUUUCUUGUCCUUAUAUGGCCAUAUAUGGCUAUAGUAAAAUCUUGUUAACACUCUAGAGGCCACAUUUAUUGUCCGAUCUUCAUGAAACUCGGUCAGAAGAUUCAUCCCAAUAAUAUCUUGGACGAGUUAAAAUAUGAUGCCGGUUGGUUGAAAACAUGGCCACCACGGGGGCGGGGCAUUUAUUCUUAUUUGGCUAUAGUAAAACCUUGUUAACACUCUAGAGGUUACAUUUAUUUUGCGAUCAUCUGGAAUUUUGGUCAGAAGAUUUGUCCCAAUGAUAUCUUGGAUGAGUUCGAAAAUGGUUUAAGUUACUUUAAAAGCAUGGCUAAGAGGGGCGGGGCAUAUGGCUAUUGUAAAACCUUGUUAACACUCUAGAGGCCACAUUUAUUGUCCAAUCUUCAUGAAAUUUGGUCAGAAGAUGGGUCUCAAUGAUAUCUCGAAUUAGUUCGAAAAUAAUUAUGUUUGCUCGAAAAACAUGGCUUCCAAGGGGCGGGGUAUUUUUCCUUAUAUGGCUUUAGUAAAACCUUGUUAACACUCUUAACGCCACAUUUAUUUUCCGAUCUUCAUGAAACGGGUCAGAAGAUUUGUUCCAAUAAUAUAUUGAUAUCUCAGGUGAGCGACUUUGGGCCUUUCAGGCCCUCUUGUUGUCCCCAACCGGUUUCUUCGGAGGGGACUUAUGGUUUGCGCUCCGUCUGUCAGUAAGUUUGUCAGUCAGUCUGUCGGUCAGUCACACAUUUCUGGAUCCUGCGAUAACUUUAAAAGUUCUUAAUAUUUUUUCAUGAAACUUGAAACAUGGAUAGAUGGCAAUAUGGACAUUAUGCACGUCAUUUCAUGUCGUUCCUACGUCAAAAAAUUUGGUUGCUUUGGCAACAAAUAGACUAGAAAUACUGCUGAAAAUGGUGGUUUUCUGGAUCCUGCGAUAACUUUAAAAGUUCUUAAUAUUUUUUCAUGAAACUUAAAUCAUGGAGAGAUGGCAAUAUGGACAUUAUGCACUUAAUUUCAUUUUGUUUCUACGUCAAACAUUCUGGUUGCUAUGGCAACAACAACAAUUCUGACAAUGAUGGAAUAUCUGACAAUGGUGGAGCCCGUAGGGGACUAUAUUGCUUGGCAAUAGUCUUGUUCUUAAUUUUGUUUCUAAGACCUUAUAUCUAUAUUACCAAAAUCAAGAGAGCAGUCUUUUUAUUGAUCUCAUUCAUAGAACAACUUUAAAAUAUCAAGACUCCCACCGAUUAAUUUAGAAUAAAUAAAUUACUAAAAAAGAUACCGGACUAAAAAAGAUACCCGGUAUCAAGAUUUUUUAGUUUCCCCCAUUUACCAGUAAACACUUACUUUGGAUAAAUCUCAUUCUCACAAUCUUUGAGCAGCACUCAGCUAUUUCAAUAUAUAUAAGUAUUGUUCUGGGAAAAUCGGACUAAAUGCAUGUGCGUAAAGUGUAGUUCCAGAUAAUUCAGGUAUGACACUUUCUGCAUAAACCAGAUUUUUAUUUAGAAGCAGAGACCUCUGUUAAACAAGAAAUUUCAUAAAGGCAGAAAUCGUCCUCCCAGAUUAGCCUGUGCCAACUGCACAGGCUAAUCUGGGACGACACUUAACUCACAUGUAUUACUCCCCAUUUCCCUCAAAACCCCGCUGCAUUAAAAUUUUAUAAUCUUUAUUCAUUUGUUUAAAAGAUGUCUCUUUUUAGCAAAAAUCCAAUUAUUUUAAAAGGCGGAAAUUUAUUAGCCUUCUUGAAUGAAACUGUGACACUAUGUACAUGCAUUAAGCCCAGUAUUCCCAGGACAUGGCUUAUACUAUAAUUUUCAUAUUCAUACAAUCUUGCAUGGAUAAUUUCAGUCCAUAUUCAAGAAGAACACAAGUCCAAGCCUCGGUAGUGACAUCGACAGUGAACUGCCCGACCCCGAAGAUGCCGACAUGAACUUGUCUGAUGUGGAGAACGGGCCUUCGAUGAUGUCAUGUGAUGUGUCAUGUGACCUGGAGGAAGGGUACACGGCCCGGGAUGUGGUGGCUGCUGAGGAGGCGUGGCAAAAAUACCUGAACAGGAACGACAGCGUCAUUGUGGAAACUUUCCAGGGGCAGUUCAAGUCUACAUUGACCAUCACUCCUUGCGACUAGACGAGUUGGUGACUUCCGGUCAAAUGUAAACAGAUUUGUCUGUUGCAACAACGAAAACAAUCAACUUCGGUUGAUAAACAACUCAAAACUCUACAGGAGACUCUGAAAGAUUACAACAGCGUGGCAAGCCUUAAGGCCGAUCAGUUGAAAAAGCUUGGUCAACUGUACAACAUUGACCCCAAGUUCCCUAAAAAGGCACGGAUUGUGUUACUCUGCUCUGUACUUGGCCUUUCAACAACCGGUCACAUUCAGACAGUGGCAACAAGAGACUCCUGUCAGCAUUUAAAUGAUGAUCAACAGAAACACUGACUGUAAUAACUGUUAUAUCGCUGUGAUAACUGUACAUUUUUCGAGAAAAUAUUUUCUAAACUAAUAAAGCUUAUUUGUCCAAAAUUUGUUGUAUAACU